RNAcentral lists this ribosomal RNA (497 nucleotides) under uncultured bacterium. Its description in RNAcentral is "partial 16S ribosomal RNA". It matches the Rfam family "Bacterial small subunit ribosomal RNA", at positions 28 to 507 of the family's 1533-position model. The record is from RNAcentral.
GAUGAACGCUGGCGGCGUGCCUAAUACAUGCAAGUCGAGCGAACGGACGAGAAGCUUGCUUCUCUGAUGUUAGCGGCGGACGGGUGAGUAACACGUGGAUAACCUACCUAUAAAACUGGGUUAGCUUCGGGAAACGGGAGCUAAUACCGGAUAAUAUUUUAAACCGCAUGGUCCAAAAGUAAAAAACGGCUUUGCUGUACCUUAUAGAUGGUCCCGCGCUGCAUUAGCUAGUUGGUAAGGUAACGGCUUACCAAGGCAACGAUGCAUAGCCGACCUGAGAGGGUGAUCGGCCACACUGGAACUGAGACACGGUCCAGACUCCUACGGGAGGCAGCAGUAGGGAAUCUUCCGCAAUGGGCGAAAGCCUGACGGAGCAACGCCGCGUGAGUGAUGAAGGUCUUCGGAUCGUAAAACUCUGUUAUUAGGGGAGAACAUAUGUGUAAGUAACUGUGCACAUCUUGACGGUACCUAAUCAGAAAGCCACGGCUAACUACGUG